GGUGUGUUUUGGAUUUUGGCCCCCGGUGUGAUUGAGUUGGACACUCCUGCGGCGCAGGUGCAGCUGCGCCUGCAGGUCCCGAGUCUCAUCCCAACCGGCCGCCUGCAGCUGCAGACGGCGCAGCUGCAGGCGGCCGCGCGCGCGGCCCUGCAGCUCUGCAGACGCGGAAAAAGCGGACUUCCCGUCAUGCGCGGCGCAGACACUUUGACACCAAGCAGCCGUUCGAUCUCAAACCGUCACUCACCGUCGGACACGAGUCGAUCUGCCCAAACCGAAGAGAGCCAGAGAGCCGUCCUCUAGCGGGUCAUGGUCCGGAGGCUGAGCGGGAAGGAGGACGGACGGAGCGGCCGGACCGCUGGACGCUCGGUUCCUCUCUCUGCGCUGGGAUAGAGGAACUGAGGAAGUAAAAGUUGACUUGCAUCACACACAGCAUGCAAGUUUUGAAGAAGUCCGGAAGCAAGGACGGUAUCUAUGCAAAUGAGGGCAGCUGCGGGGACGGGUGAACGAUCAGAGGAAGAAACGCGCCAACGUGGAGCUGGAAGAACUGCCGUCCCCGCCACUCGAUCAAGGGUUUAUGGGCCGUAGAAGGUCUUCAAGUUUGACCCUGUAAACUGUUCACGUAGCGUCGAUCUGCUGUCUCUGAUGGAGAAUUCUUCCUCUGUCUUCAACCAGAGACUGACGUUCAUCUCCACCAUGUUCAGAGUCCAGAACUCGUUUAUAAUUCAGUCAAAUCUCUCAGAUGUUGGUCAGUAAAACGGACUGUCAUGGAUGUUUGCAGGUUUUUAACCCCAUUUGACUCUUUUGUCUCCGUUUUUUCAUUAAAAUAAAGACAUGAUUGAUUUUGUCCUUUUA
Molecule: long non-coding RNA, 852 nt
Organism: Oryzias melastigma (Indian medaka)
Lineage: Eukaryota; Metazoa; Chordata; Actinopteri; Beloniformes; Adrianichthyidae
Exons: 2
Source: RefSeq, a predicted model, not a curated record